This 181-nucleotide small RNA is filed under the name Crocodylus porosus (Australian saltwater crocodile). RNAcentral's name for it is "TUC338 (ENSCPRG00005007572.1)". The record is from RNAcentral. Lineage: Eukaryota; Metazoa; Chordata; Crocodylia; Crocodylidae.
GCACCAGCAAUGAAAAGUGAAGGGCUCCAUUUGGCCAUCGAACAAGCACAGAAGAACAGCAAAAGGUCAUUCUUGCUGCUUCGUGCUGUCCUGCCAAUAUGCCUUAUUACUGCAGUGAACAGGUGACCCUGCUGGGUGAGAGGGCAAUUCAGUCUCCAUGCUCAAUUGAUCCUUGGCCUUU